This 440-nucleotide ribosomal RNA is filed under the name uncultured bacterium. RNAcentral's name for it is "partial 16S ribosomal RNA". It matches the Rfam family "Bacterial small subunit ribosomal RNA", at positions 338 to 795 of the family's 1533-position model. The record is from RNAcentral.
CCUACGGGUGGCAGCAGUGGGGAAUAUUGGACAAUGGGGGGAACCCUGAUCCAGCGACGCCGCGUGAGUGAAGAAGUCUUUCGGUUUGUAAAGCUCUAUCAGCAGGGAAGAAAAUGACGGUACUUGACUAAGACGCCCCGGCUAACUACGUCCCAGCAGCCGCGGUAAUACGGAGGGGGCAAGCGUUAUCCGGAUUUACUGGGUGUAAAGGGAGCGUAGUCGGUGCAGCAAGUCUGAUGUGAAAGGUCGGGGCCCAACCCCGGGACUGCAUUGGAAACUGUUGAACUGGAGUGCAGGAGAGGUAAGCGGAAUUCCUAGUGUAGCGGUGAAAUGCGUAGAUAUUAGGAGGAACACCAGUGGCGAAGGCGGCUUACUGGACUGUAACUGACGUUGAGGCUCGAAAGCGUGGGGAGCAAACAGGAUUAGAUACCCGUGUAGUC